This 465-nucleotide ribosomal RNA is filed under the name uncultured soil bacterium. RNAcentral describes it as "bacterial SSU rRNA". It matches the Rfam family "Bacterial small subunit ribosomal RNA", at positions 26 to 483 of the family's 1533-position model. The record is from RNAcentral.
AGAUUGAACGCUGGCGGCAGGCCUAACACAUGCAAGUCGAGCGGUAGAGAGGUGCUUGCAUCUCUUGAGAGCGGCGGACGGGUGAGUAAUGCCUAGGAAUCUGCCUAGUGGUGGGGGAUAACGUUCGGAAACGGACGCUAAUACCGCAUACGUCCUACGGGAGAAAGCGGGGGACCUUCGGGCCUCGCGCCAUUAGAUGAGCCUAGGUCGGAUUAGCUAGUUGGUGAGGUAAUGGCUCACCAAGGCGACGAUCCGUAACUGGUCUGAGAGGAUGAUCAGUCACACUGGAACUGAAGACACGGUCCAGACUCCGUACGGGAGGCAGCGAGGUGGGAAUUAGUUAGGACAAGUGGGACGAAAGCCUGAUCCAGCCAUGCCGCGUGUGAGAAGAAGGUUCGUUCGGAUUAGUAAAGCUAACGUUUUAAGGUGGGAAGGUAAGGUUUAGUUAAACCUUAAGUUACGUUG